GGCGGCAGGCUUAACACAUGCAAGUCGAGCGGUAGCAGAUCUAGCUUGCUAGAUGCUGACGAGCGGCGGACGGGUGAGUAACGCGUAGGAACCUGCCCAGUAGUGGGGGAUAGCCCGGGGAAACUCGGAUUAAUACCGCAUACGCUCUACGGAGGAAAGAGGGGGCUUCGGCUCUCGCUAUUGGAUGGGCCUGCGUGAGAUUAGCUAGUUGGUGAGGUAAUGGCUCACCAAGGCGACGAUCUCUAGCUGGUCUGAGAGGAUGAUCAGCCACACUGGGACUGAGACACGGCCCAGACUCCUACGGGAGGCAGCAGUGGGGAAUAUUGCACAAUGGGCGCAAGCCUGAUGCAGCCAUGCCGCGUGUGUGAAGAAGGCUUUCGGGUUGUAAAGCACUUUCAGUGGGGAGGAAGGCCUUGUAGUUAAUAGCUGCGAGGAUUGACGUUACCCACAGAAGAAGCACCGGCUAACUCCGUG
This 474-nucleotide ribosomal RNA is filed under the name uncultured bacterium. RNAcentral's name for it is "bacterial SSU rRNA". It matches the Rfam family "Bacterial small subunit ribosomal RNA", at positions 38 to 507 of the family's 1533-position model. The record is from RNAcentral.